This 772-nucleotide ribosomal RNA is filed under the name uncultured bacterium. Its description in RNAcentral is "bacterial SSU rRNA". It matches the Rfam family "Bacterial small subunit ribosomal RNA", at positions 8 to 796 of the family's 1533-position model. The record is from RNAcentral.
AGAGUUUGAUCAUGGCUCAGAACGAACGCUGGCGGCGUGCUUAACACAUGCAAGUCGAGUGCGCGUCUGUAGCAAUACAGAUGGCGCACGGCGCACGGGUGCGUAACACGUGGGUAACCUGCCCUUUAGUGGGGAAUAACCUCGCGAAAGCGAGGCUAAUUCCGCAUAAGAUCCGCAAGGAUGAAAGCCGAAAGGCGCUGAUGGAGGGGCCCGCGCACGAUUAGCUAGUUGGUGAGGUAAUGGCUCACCAAGGCUAUGAUCGUUAGCUGGUCUGAGAGGAUGGCCAGCCACACUGGAACUGAGACACGGUCCAGACUCCUACGGGAGGCAGCAGUGGGGAAUCUUGCACAAUGGGCGAAAGCCUGAUGCAGCGACGCCGCGUGGGGGAUGAAGCUUCUCGGAGUGUAAACCCCUUUCGACCCGGACGAAUACCUCGCAAGAGGGGUGACGGUACGGGUAUAAGAAGCCCCGGCUAACUACGUGCCAGCAGCCGCGGUAAGACGUAGGGGGCCAGCGUUGUUCGGAAUUACUGGGUGUAAAGGGUUCGUAGGCGGUGUGGCAAGUCGGGAGUGAAAUUUCUGGGCUCAACUCAGAGACUGCUUCCGAAACUGCUGUGCUGGAGUGUGGGAGAGGCGCGUGGAAUUGCAGGUGUAGCGGUGAAGUGCGUAGAUAUCUGCAGGAACACCCGUGGCGAAAGCGGCGCGCUGGACCACUACUGACGCUGAGGAACGAAAGCUAGGGGAGCAAACAGGAUUAGAUACCCUAGUAGUCC